GUCCAUGCCGUAAACGUUGGGCACUAGGUGUGGGGCUCAUUCCACGAGUUCCGCGCCGCAGCUAACGCAUUAAGUGCCCCGCCUGGGGAGUACGGCCGCAAGGCUAAAAACUCAAAGGAAUUGACGGGGGCCCGCACAAGCGGCGGAGCAUGCGGAUUAAUUCGAUGCAACGCGAAGAACCUUACCAAGGCUUGACAUACACCGGAAUCAUGCAGAGAUGUGUGCGUCUUCGGACUGGUGUACAGGUGGUGCAUGGUUGUCGU
Molecule: ribosomal RNA, 263 nt
Filed under: uncultured bacterium
Lineage: Bacteria
Description: partial 16S ribosomal RNA
Rfam family: Bacterial small subunit ribosomal RNA
Source: RNAcentral